CGUCUACAUUAACUGCCUUGCACUGUGAGAAUUAAAACAUCACCACAUAAAGAAUUUAUCUAAACCCUCAAGAGUGUUCAUAAACGCCCCCUUCCGUAUUUAGCUUUAAUAAAUAAAUAUAAUUUAUGCUCGAACCUUCACGGUGAGCUUUUGCGCAUGCGCGACUUUCGGGAAGGAAGGAGAGAGGACUCUCGCCAUAUUCGAUCAACAAGCGUGACGGUGCUCCGAAGCGGUCCAACAAUUCAUACCAUCCAGACGGCAUCCUUACAUCCCUGGACGCUAGAUUGAGGACGCAGCUUACCAGAAUUACGGAUACCAGUUCGACUGUGGGCUGCAAGGAGCAGGUGGGGUCCUGGUGAAUGAAUGGGGAAGUCGAUUGAAGAUCCACAAUCCACCUGCAGGCAGAAAAUUGAACCGAUUUCUUGAGGCAUCGCUUGAUCGGGGAUGAAGGGAAAGAGUCAUUGAAGAGUAAGUAGACUUCUCGUGAGAUUCCUCACGCGUUAUUCAGUGCUCUCAAUACUUCAAAUUCACGAGUUGUCUUGCAGUCAAUCUGCCACAGCGACCUCACCAAUUACGGUUCCACGAGGCACUCUGCGACGCCAUUAUAGACUGGUCUACGAGAGAUUCAGCUUACGUUUUGUGGACGCGUCUAUUUUCCUUUAACCAGACCACCUUCUAUAAAACAGCUAAGCUGUUCCACAAUUAUUUAACACUCACCAGUGUAGAUUAAACAUUAGUAAUGAAUUUGAGCCACUCGAUUAAUUUCGAUUAUGCCAUAAAUAAAUACCACCUCACCCAGGUUGUGAAGGGACGUUCCUACGACAAAAUAUAGAAUCAUACAGUCCAGUAAAAUAUCAUACAGUUCACUUUAAUUAAAAAAAAUAAAGAAAUAAUGUAGUAAAAUAAAUACUUAAUAAAUCAUUGAAUAAAUAAAUAAAUUCCUGCUAGGAGAUUUUCCCCACAAUACUCGAGCAUCAAGUGUUACAUGACGCUACUUGACCAGCAAGUGUUACAUGAGGCUACUUGACCAGCAAGUGUUACAUGAGGCUACUCGACCAGCAAGUGUUACAUGAGGCUACUUGACCAGCAAGUGUUACAUGAGGCUACUCGACCAGCAAGUGUUACAUGAGGCUACUUGACCAGCAAGUGUUACAUGAGGCUACUCGACCAGCAAGUGUUACAUGAGGCUACUUGACCAGCAAGUGUUACAUGAGGCUACUUGACCAGCAAGUGUUACAUGAGGCUACUUGACCAGCAAGUGUUACAUGAGGCUACUACACCAGCAAGUGUUACAUGAGGCUGCUCGACCAGCAAGUGUUACAUGAGGCUACUUGACCAGCAAGUGGUACAUGAGGCUACUUGACCAGCAAGUGUUACAUGAGGCUACUACACCAGCAAGUGUUACAUGAGGCUACUUGACCAGCAAGUGUUACAUGAGGCUACUACACCAGCAAGUGUUACAUGAGGCUACUACACCAGCAAGUGUUACAUGAGGCUACUUGACCAGCAAGUGUUACAUGAGGCUACUACACCAGCAAGUGUUACAUGAGGCUACUUGACCAGCAAGUGUUACAUGAGGCUACUUGACCAGCAAGUGUUACAUGAGGCUACUACACCAGCAAGUGUUACAUGAGGCUACUACACCAGCAAGUGUUACAUGAGGCUACUUGACCAGCAAGUGUUACAUGAGGCUACUACACCAGCAAGUGUUACAUGAGGCUACUCGAUCAGCAAGUGUUACAUGAGGCUACUACACCAGCAAGUGUUACAUGAGGCUACUACACCAGCAAGUGUUACAUGAGGCUACUCGACCAUCAAGUGUUACAUGAGGCUACUCGACCAGCAAGUGUUACUCGAGGCUACUCGACCAUCAAGUGUUACAUGACGCUACUCGACCAUCAAGUGUUACAUGACGCUACUCGACCAUCAAGUGUUACAUGACGCUACUCGACCAGCAAGUGUUACUCGAGGCUACUCGACCAGAAAGCCGUCCUCAGCCUCUAAAUUACAACCAGUAAAAUAUUACAUAACUACUAAUGUGCUAAAGCGUCGAGCUAUGCAAUUAUUCUGUAAUGUAUAAAUUAAUUACAAAGUCAGUGUUGAGACUGUUAUACAUGUAAUGAAUUGCGGUGAACUGAAUUGUAAUAGAAUAUUAACUAUUGAAUCAUUAGAUGAAUACUAACAUUACUGGUAAGUGGGGCAUAAUAUGCAGGGUGUUUUAUUUGUUCAUGAUUGCCUAAAUGGCAUUGUUUAGUGCAGGUGUGUGUAUGUGUGUCACAUCUGGUGAAGGUUCAUUAUAUGAACAUAUAUAUUCAACACAUACACACACAUAUGUACUCACCUAUUUGUGCUUGCAGGAUCGAGCAUUGACUCUUGGAUCCCGCCUUUCCAGCAAUCGGUUGUUUACAGUUGUAAAUCGGUCUAUGUCCGAAACGCUUUGCGUAAUAGUGGCUUUAGGCAUUGUAUGUACUAGCUCUACCUAUAAGUUAAACAAUCCUUGUAAAUAUUUAUUGUAUGUAUGUACCUACCAAAAUAAAUUGUAAAAGUAAUCGGUUGUUUACGUCCACUCCCAGGUCUCUUUCUCGAAUCGUUACAGGUAGGCUGUUCCCCUUCAUUGUGUACUGUCCCUUUGGUCUCCUAUCACCUGAUCCCAUUUCCAUAACUUUACAUUUACUGGUGUUAAACUCCAGUAGCCAUUUCCCUGACCCACAAUGAUGUUACAUACACAUAUGUAUGUAACAUCAGGUGUGCGUGUGCGUGUGUCACAUCUGGUGAUGGUUGUCUAGUGCAGGUGUGUGUGUGUGUCACACCGUAGCCUCAAUCACACACCGUAGCCUCGACCACACACCGUAGCCUCGACCACACACCAUAGCCUCAAUCACACACCGUACCCUCGACCCACACGCCAUAGCCUCGACCACACACCGUAGCCACGACCACACACCGAAGCCUCGACCACACUCCGUAGUCACGACUGUUAUGAUCCCAGGUAGCUGAAAAACGAGUCUACAUUGAGAGUUAUUCUGCAAGACCUGACCUAAAUAAGAGGUCAAAGAAAUAUAGUCACGGAGAUACAUACGUAAAAUAAUUGGUUAGAUUUGAUAAAUAGUUUAAGAGUAUGGGCAGUGAUCAAGAAUAUAAGUAAAUGACUUGACAUGAGAUGUGGAGAGUUUGCUGGUAGUGUGAGGCUUGCUUCUGGAGGGCUUUAACCCUACUUGAGCACCAGACAUCGUGAGGGAAAGCUGCUCUCCGUGUGAGCUCCUGUUAGAGAGGAGCCCCUAGUUAACAUAUCUUCAAGAGGAAGGAAGUGUGCAGACGUAUCAGCUGUGGAAUCGAGCUGGGAACGUGUGGUCUCAAGUCCUGGACGGCAGGAAGAGAUUUGAAGCCGCCCAGAAACAUUUUCAGGGGCAGCAGUGUGUGCGACCUGGUCGGGCGUCAUCGAGGAGCGCCCUCGCAAGAGACAAUAUUGUGAUAAGCCCAAAUUUAACUAGUUAAAAGUGAUUGCCUAUAGUGGAUCGUGUGCCCAGCGAUCGUACCAAGUGUCUGUUGAUAUGUUAGGAAUGUUUUGAUGAGGCAGAAGGCCAAAAUAAGAGAGUAAUGAUGGAGGAACGUCCUGGAGGGCGGAGCGACGUCCGUCCACUCUGACCGCUGGUGGGCGACUCAGUGAGUGGGCCACCCGAGAAGGCAGAGAAUGGACCAGCCCAAACGUGGGGGAGUCACCUCACAGCAUAUAGAAAGCAGAGAGAUGUCAAAUGAAACAUUUAUUGUGUGUGAUUCAUUUCAGUUAUGUGUUUAUAGAGGAACUUUUAUUGGCGUGUCGAUGGGUUACAGGUUUGUCUGGGGAAGGAGUUGCUGAGAACUUCGAAGCCAGCAGAGAGGGAGUAGUUGAUAAGACUCCAAGGUUGUGGAAGGUACUGAGCUCCGUGGAAGAGCAGCCAUACAGUGAAGAGCAGGACCUCGACCACACACCGUAGUCACGACCACACACCGUAGCCUCGACCACACACCGUAGCCUCGACCGCACGCCGUAGCCACGACCACACGCCGUAGACACGACCACACGCCGUAGCCUCGACCACACACCGUAGCCUCGACCACACACCAUAGCCUCAACCACACACCGUAGCCUCGACCACACACCGUAGCCUCGACCACACACCGUAGCCUCGACCACACACCAUUGCCUCAACCACACACCAUAGUCUCGACCACACACUGUAGCCUCGACCACACACCGUAGCCUCGACCACACACCGUAGCCUCGACCACACGCAAUAGCCUCGACCACACACCAUAGUCUCGACCACACGCUGUAGCCUCAACCACACACCAUAGCCUCGACCACACGCUGUAGCCACGACCACACACCGUAGCCUCGUCCACACACUGUUGCUUCGACCACACACCAUAGCCUCAAUCACACACCACAGCCUCGACCACACACCAUAGCCUUGACCACAUACCAUAGCCUCAACCACACACCAUAGCCUCGAUCACACACUGUAGCCACGACCACACACCGUAGCCUCAACCACACACCAUAGCCUCGACCACACACCAUAGCCUCGACCACACACUGUUGCCUCGACCACACACCAUAGCCUCGACCACACACCAUAGCCUCGACCACACACGGUAGCCACAACCACACGCCGUAGCCUCGACCACAUGCUGUAGCCUCGACCACACACCGUUGUCUCGACCACACACCGUAGCCUCGACCACACACCAUAGCCUCGACCACACGCCGUAGCCUCAACCACACACCAUAGCCUCGACCACACGCCGUAGCCACGACCACACACAGUAGCCUCGACCACACACCGUUGCUUCGACCACACACCAUAGCCUCAAUCACACACCACAGCCUCGACCACACACCAUAGCCUCAAUCACACACCGUAGCCUCGACCACACACCACAGCCUCGACCACACACUAUAGCCUCGACCACACACCAUAGCCUUAAUCACACGCCAUAGCCACGACCACACACCGUAGCCUCGACUGUGGGAAAAACCUGCUGGGAUUGAUAUGAGAGGAGAACUACCAGGGACUUGUACUGAACUAAAUUAAAAAUUACUGUCUGCAAAUUAAUUCAACUAAAGU
This is a long non-coding RNA of Procambarus clarkii (red swamp crayfish), 5108 nucleotides long. RefSeq lists it as uncharacterized. NCBI's taxonomy places the organism in Eukaryota, Metazoa, Arthropoda, Malacostraca, Decapoda, Cambaridae. The record is from RefSeq and is a predicted model, not a curated record.